Molecule: ribosomal RNA, 254 nt
Filed under: uncultured bacterium
Lineage: Bacteria
Description: partial 16S ribosomal RNA
Rfam family: Bacterial small subunit ribosomal RNA
Source: RNAcentral
CUUGCUCCCAGGCGUCGAGCGGCGGACGGGUGAGUAACGCGUAGGAAUCUACCCAGUAGCGGGGGAUAGCCCGGGGAAACCCGGAUUAAUACCGCAUACGCCCCACGGGGGAAAGGCCGGGAUCUUCGGACCGGUCACUAUUGGAGGGGCCUGCGUUGGAUUAGCUAGUUGGUAGGGUAAAGGCCUACCAAGGCGACGAUCCAUAGCUGUUCUGAGAGGAAGAUCAGCCACACUGGAACUGAGACACGGUCCAG